RNAcentral lists this ribosomal RNA (576 nucleotides) under uncultured bacterium. RNAcentral describes it as "partial 16S ribosomal RNA". It matches the Rfam family "Bacterial small subunit ribosomal RNA", at positions 355 to 922 of the family's 1533-position model. The record is from RNAcentral.
UGGGGAAUUUUGGACAAUGGGCGAAAGCCUGAUCCAGCAAUGCCGCGUGUGUGAAGAAGGCCUUCGGGUUGUAAAGCACUUUUGUCCGGAAAGAAAUCCUCUGGGUUAAUACCUCGGGGGGAUGACGGUACCGGAAGAAUAAGCACCGGCUAACUACGUGCCAGCAGCCGCGGUAAUACGUAGGGUGCAAGCGUUAAUCGGAAUUACUGGGCGUAAAGCGUGCGCAGGCGGUUUUGUAAGACGGAUGUGAAAUCCCCGGGCUUAACCUGGGAACUGCAUUCGUGACUGCAAGGCUAGAGUAUGGCAGAGGGGGGUAGAAUUCCACGUGUAGCAGUGAAAUGCGUAGAGAUGUGGAGGAAUACCGAUGGCGAAGGCAGCCCCCUGGGCCAAUACUGACGCUCAUGCACGAAAGCGUGGGGAGCAAACAGGAUUAGAUACCCUGGUAGUCCACGCCCUAAAACGAUGUCAACUAGUUGUUGGGGGAUUCAUUUCCUUAGUAACGUAGCUAACGCGUGAAGUUGACCGCCUGGGGAGUACGGUCGCAAGAUUAAAACUCAAAUGAAUUGACGGGGUCAU